Molecule: ribosomal RNA, 243 nt
Filed under: uncultured bacterium
Lineage: Bacteria
Description: partial 16S ribosomal RNA
Rfam family: Bacterial small subunit ribosomal RNA
Source: RNAcentral
GUCUACGCUGUAAACGAUGAUUACUUGAUGUUGGCGAUAAAAUGUCAGUGUCUAAGCGAAAGUGUUAAGUAAUCCACCUGGGGAGUACGAUCGCAAGGUUGAAACUCAAAGGAAUUGACGGGGGCCCGCACAAGCGGUGGAGCAUGUGGUUUAAUUCGAUGAUACGCGAGGAACCUUACCAGGGCUUAAAUGCAGAACGACAGGCUGGGAAACCAGCCCUUCUUCGGACGGACUGCAAGGUGC